GAUGAACGCUGGCGGCGUGCUUAACACAUGCAAGUCGAACGAAGCACUUACAAUUGAUUCUUCGGAUGAAAGAGUUUGUGACUGAGUGGCGGACGGGUGAGUAACGCGUGGGUAACCUGCCUCAUACAGGGGGAUAACAGUUAGAAAUGACUGCUAAUACCGCAUAAGCGCACAGUACCGCAUGGUACAGUGUGAAAAACUCCGGUGGUAUGAGAUGGACCCGCGUCUGAUUAGCUAGUUGGUGGGUAACGGCCUACCAAGGCGACGAUCAGUAGCCGGCCUGAGAGGGUGAACGGCCACAUUGGGACUGAGACACGGCCCAAAACUCCUACGGGAGGCAGCAGUGGGGAAUAUUGCACAAUGGGGGAAACCCUGAUGCAGCGACGCCGCGUGAGUGAAGAAGUAUUUCGGUAUGUAAAAGCUCUAUCAGCAGGGAAGAAAAAUGACGGUACCUGACUAAGAAAGCCCCGGCUAACUACGUG
This 482-nucleotide ribosomal RNA is filed under the name uncultured bacterium. Its description in RNAcentral is "bacterial SSU rRNA". It matches the Rfam family "Bacterial small subunit ribosomal RNA", at positions 28 to 507 of the family's 1533-position model. The record is from RNAcentral.